CCGGAGGUUGCGCUGAGUUUGGCUGCUCGCUGGGUUUUGGAUGUUGGAUUCGACCACUUGAGAUGGAAAUGGUGUGUCACGGUCUGGUCCUUUAUUUUAUGCUGCCACACAUAAAUUGAGAUGGACCUUUAAAUAAAGCCUUUGUGAUACAAGUUAACCCUGGCAAGAA
Long non-coding RNA from Sapajus apella (tufted capuchin), 169 nucleotides. RefSeq lists it as uncharacterized. The record is from RefSeq and is a predicted model, not a curated record. The transcript is spliced from 3 exons. Lineage: Eukaryota; Metazoa; Chordata; Mammalia; Primates; Cebidae.